RNAcentral lists this ribosomal RNA (520 nucleotides) under uncultured Glomus. RNAcentral's name for it is "SSU rRNA". It matches the Rfam family "Eukaryotic small subunit ribosomal RNA", at positions 569 to 1092 of the family's 1831-position model. The record is from RNAcentral. Lineage: Eukaryota; Fungi; Glomeromycota; Glomeromycetes; Glomerales; Glomeraceae.
AGCAGCCGCGGUAAUUCCAGCUCCAAUAGCGUAUAUUAAAGUUGUUGCAGUUAAAAAGCUCGUAGUUGAAUUUCGGGAUCAAUACGUCGGUCGUGCUUUCGGGUACGUACUGGCGUCGUUGGUUUCUCCCUUCUGACGAACCAUGAUGUCAUUUAUUUGGUGUUGUGGGGAAUCAGGACUGUUACUUUGAAAAAUUAGAGUGUUUAAAGCAGGCUCACGCUUGAAUACAUUAGCAUGGAAUAAUGAAAUAGGACGUUUGAUUCUAUUUUGUUGGUUUCUAGGAUCGACGUAAUGAUUAAUAGGGAUAGUUGGGGCAUUAGUAUUCAAUUGUCAGAGGUGAAAUUCUUGGAUUUAUUGAAGACUAACUACUGCGAAAGCAUUUGCCAAGGAUGUUUUCAUUAAUCAAGAACGAAAGUUAGGGGAUCGAAGACGAUCAGAUACCGUCGUAGUCUUAACCAUAAACUAUGCCGACUAGGGAUCGGAUGAUGUUAAUUUUUAAUGACUCAUUCGGCGCCUUACG